GACGAACCGAGCGAACGUUGUUCGGAAUCACUGGGCUUAAAGGGCGCGUAGGCGGGUGUUCAAGUCCGUGGUGAAAUCCUCCGGCUCAACCGGAGAACUGCCUCGGAUACUGAAUGUCUCGAGGGUGGUAGGGGUAUGCGGAACUAUCGGUGGAGCGGUGAAAUGCGUUGAUAUCGAUAGGAACUCCGGUGGCGAAGGCGGCAUACUGGACCACUUCUGACGCUGAGGCGCGAAAGCCAGGGGAGCAAACGGG
Molecule: ribosomal RNA, 253 nt
Filed under: uncultured bacterium
Lineage: Bacteria
Description: partial 16S ribosomal RNA
Rfam family: Bacterial small subunit ribosomal RNA
Source: RNAcentral